This 372-nucleotide ribosomal RNA is filed under the name uncultured Thermoprotei archaeon. RNAcentral's name for it is "bacterial SSU rRNA". It matches the Rfam family "Archaeal small subunit ribosomal RNA", at positions 999 to 1352 of the family's 1478-position model. The record is from RNAcentral. Lineage: Archaea; Thermoproteati; Thermoproteota; Thermoprotei.
CGCCCGGGGCGCGCCCCGGGCGGGGCGGGGGCACGGGGGGAACCGUCGACAGUCAGGCAACGAGCGAGACCCCUGCGUUUAGUUGCUACCAUUACUCUCUGGAGCAGUGGAGCGAAUUAGACGGACCGCCACAGUUAAUGUGGAGGAAGGAAGGGGCCACGGCAGGUCAGUAUGCCCCGAAACCCUAGGGCUACACGCGGGCUGCAAUGGUAUUGACAAUGUGUUCCGAAUCCGAAAGGAGGAGGCAAUCAUCAAACAAUAUCUCAGUUAUGACUGAGGGCUGUAACUCGCCCUCACGAAUAUGGAAUCCCUAGUAACCGCGCGUCACUACCGCGCGGUGAAUACGUCCCUGCUCCUAGCACGAAUUCGCCG